Molecule: long non-coding RNA, 686 nt
Filed under: Cricetulus griseus (Chinese hamster)
Lineage: Eukaryota; Metazoa; Chordata; Mammalia; Rodentia; Cricetidae
Description: lncRNA (ENSCGRG00015035984.1)
Source: RNAcentral
AAAGGAGCUGUCCUGGAGAGCUGACAUCGCUCACCCAUGCCCCUGCAAAGCUCUCUACCUACGCUUCCCCACUUUGCUUUUUCCAGCAAUUCAGACAAGCAAUCUCAUAAAGUGUUGGGGCUGCCUUUAGGUUGUAGUUAAAAAUUUCCAGCAGAUUGGUCACACAUCCUAUGAUAAACAAUAGCCUCCUAUGAGCUGUGAUAUCUUACGUUUGCAAGCCAGUGUGUGCAUGUGUGUGGAAAAAAAUCACCGGUUAUGCUGAGCAACGCUGCCCGACCACAGGGCCAUUUCUGCAGAAUUCUCUUUCCUGGGGCCAUCCCCCUUCAGAUCUCUCUCAAGAUAAUGACCGACGGUGUUAACAGCAGGGUCAAGAGUUAGGACUGUCCUUCCUGAAUAUCCCACCUGUCCUACCCGAAGACAUCACCAUCCCAACUCCAGAGGAAAAUGCCCUUGAGUUUCUAUAUCGUUUUGCCAUCAAAAUACAUCCACACUGACAAGCCUGCUUAGACCAGUGCUCCUAAGUGUUCCUGUCUUGAUGGAUUAGCUUGGCCAGGACAAGUUUACACAUCACUGGAGAAGUGUGAAGAGGGAGUGCGGAUGGAAAAAAAAUAGAGACACAAGAAGAGGUUUAUAAUGUUUGAAAUUAGGCAGCCCAGCCCGGAACUUUCCAUAAAAACUUUCUCCUG